Non-coding RNA from Populus trichocarpa (black cottonwood), 156 nucleotides. NCBI's taxonomy places the organism in Eukaryota, Viridiplantae, Streptophyta, Magnoliopsida, Malpighiales, Salicaceae. The record is from Rfam.
UCUAGAACUCAAGAUAUGAGCUAAACACUAAAUAGUGUCUGAGCUGCAGGACAAAUUCUGACUUCUCCGUUGUUGCUACCAUUUGAACUUGAAAAUGACACUUUUAAAUCUUGGACUCUGCAUGAAAGUUUUAGGCCUAUCUCUUAGCUUUCCAUA